GUGCUCACUUUGGCAGCAAAUAUACUAAAAUUGGAAUGAUGCAGAAAUUAGCAUGACCCUGGUGCAAGGAUGACAGGCAGAUUUGUGAAAUGUUCCAUUUAAAA
Small nuclear RNA from Neogale vison (American mink), 104 nucleotides. NCBI's taxonomy places the organism in Eukaryota, Metazoa, Chordata, Mammalia, Carnivora, Mustelidae. The record is from Ensembl.